RNAcentral lists this microRNA (24 nucleotides) under Ananas comosus (pineapple). RNAcentral describes it as "microRNA s1187_c017b". The record is from RNAcentral. Lineage: Eukaryota; Viridiplantae; Streptophyta; Magnoliopsida; Poales; Bromeliaceae.
AACUAAAGUGUACCCGGCUCAUAG